Molecule: ribosomal RNA, 401 nt
Filed under: uncultured bacterium
Lineage: Bacteria
Description: bacterial SSU rRNA
Rfam family: Bacterial small subunit ribosomal RNA
Source: RNAcentral
UCGGGAAUUUUGGGCAAUGGGCGAAAGCCUGACCCAGCAACACCGCGUGAGGGAUGAAGUAUUUCGGUAUGUAAACCUCGAAAGAAUGGGAAGAAUAAAUGACGGUACCAUUUAUAAGCUCCGGCUAACUACGUGCCAGCAGCCGCGGUAAUACGUAGGGAGCAAGCGUUGUUCGGAUUUACUGGGCGUAAAGGGCGCGUAGGCGGCGCGGUAAGUCACUUGUGAAAUCUCUGAGCUUAACUCAGAACGGCCAAGUGAUACUGCUGAGCUCGAGUGCGGAAGAGGCAACCGGAAUUCUUGGUGUAGCGGUGAAAUGCGUAGAUAUCAAGAGGAACACCUGAGGCGAAGGCGGGUUGCUGGGCCGACACUGACGCUGAUGCGCGAAAGCCAGGGGAGCAAAC